GACUUUAUUUUGACCUUCRGCGGCGCAUUUUUCAAAUCGAGGAAGAGAGAAUAUUAACGUUGGUUGYGAAAUACAGAAGAAUAAGAAUAAGAAGAACAUACAGAAGAAGAGAGAAUAUUUCCACAGCUCCACAAGCUCUUUUCGCGAUUGGCGAAAGCAUCAUAUUUGAAGGUUAAUUCAACAUGAAAAGAAAGGGUGAGAUAUCAGACUUCUGUUCCAAAAGGACCCAAUGACAUUUCAAGAUCCAGAGAACAGGGUCCUGUACAGCYGURUUUGAAAACAUUUCCCAGAACUCAGCAUGGUACUAGGAAUGGGGCUUUCAACAACUCCUGGUAUAAGGACAAUUYAUGGCUUGAAUAUUCUAAGCUUUAUAACUUUGUAUCUGGCUCGUACRUUCAUCUCAAGUGGCUUGCAGUUCAGAAAGAGCUGUAUCCACAGCAGCAGUCCAGGGAACUACAGAGACUUACGGAUGUAAGGUGGGCAUGCAGAUACAGUUGAAGUCGGAAGUUUACAUACACUUAGGUUGGAGUCAUUAAAACCCGUUUUUCAAC
Molecule: long non-coding RNA, 551 nt
Organism: Salvelinus sp. IW2-2015
Lineage: Eukaryota; Metazoa; Chordata; Actinopteri; Salmoniformes; Salmonidae
Source: RefSeq, a predicted model, not a curated record